CAUGAAGCUGGAAUCGCUAGUAAUCGCGGAUCAGAAUGCCGCGGUGAAUACGUUCCCGGGUCUUGUACACACCGCCCGUCACACCACGAGAGUUUACAACACCCGAAGUCAGUGGCCUAACCGCAAGGAGGGAGCUGCCUAAGGUGGGGUAGAUGAUUGGGGUGAAGUCGUAACAAGGUAAC
RNAcentral lists this ribosomal RNA (182 nucleotides) under uncultured bacterium. RNAcentral describes it as "partial 16S ribosomal RNA". It matches the Rfam family "Bacterial small subunit ribosomal RNA", at positions 1319 to 1500 of the family's 1533-position model. The record is from RNAcentral.